This is a long non-coding RNA of Vigna unguiculata (cowpea), 1321 nucleotides long. The record is from RefSeq and is a predicted model, not a curated record. Lineage: Eukaryota; Viridiplantae; Streptophyta; Magnoliopsida; Fabales; Fabaceae.
AGGUUUAUAACCUCCGCAAAUUGCAAUACAUUUUUCUUCGAGCAAAGACACGUGUUCCUCCCAAAUCAGAAAAAUUAGAAUGAAAUUUUCCGACAACCUAAGUUCAGUGUCGCAGCCUCAACCAAUCAAAAACCUAAGUUCAGUGUCGUAGCCUCAACCAAUCGAAAACCUAAGCCAACCAUCGCGUGCAGCGAUCUUCGUCGCGCCAUCCCAUCUCCGUCACGCCAUCACCGUAACGCCGUCGCGCCAUCUCCAUCACGCCGUCGCGCCAUCUCCGUCGGCGUUGUCUUCUUCGCUUCAUCUCAGUCGCGUUGUCUCUGUUUCCCCUUUCCGUCGUCGCGCCAUCUCUAGAGGCGAUUCGGACAUUGCUAUCGAAGGGUGCUGCCUCUAUUUCCUAUCCUGCUAGGGAAAUAAGAAAAGAAUGGUGAUUCGUCCUUGGAGAAGGUUGGUUAGUGUUUGCUGCGGUUUGGCAUUGUUAAGUUGUUGAAGGAGCGUUGUUGGUCUUUGAAGAAGGAGAUACAUCACUGCAGAGUUUAUAAACCUCAUCUUGUCAGAAUCAAUCCUGCAACAGAGAGCAUAUAUUGAAGGCUCCACAGGUGGUUUCUUUUGUUUUCUGUCCUUCUUCUCUUGCUCUCACCCUAGAUGGUGCUAUCAAAGAAGCAAUCAAUACAUUAAGGAGCAAUAAUGUUAAUGCAUUUGUUUUGGACCUAAGAGAUAAUAGUGGUGGUCUUUUCCCAGAAGGAAUUGAGAUUGCCAAAAUUUGGUUGGACAAAGGAGUAAUUGUGUAUAUUUGUGAUAGUCGUGGUGUUCGAGAUAUACUUGAUACAGAUGGAAGUAGUGCACUGGAAACAUCAGAACCCUUGGCUGUACUGAAGCAUGGAGCAUUCUUUUUUUCAGCUUUUCUUUCAUCAGGUUCAUGGCAGAUUUGUCCAAUUCCUUCUCAGUUCUUUUUUCCUCCUUUUCACAUUUUGCACUGAAAUUCUCCUAAGCAUAUUUGCUUCUUUGAAACAGCUCCCCAAGUGAAGUCCUGUGUUCUUUCUUUGCUACAGCAGUUGUUUCAGACAGUUCAAUAGCUGUUCCAAAGAGAUAUCCCUAGAGUGGACAAUUGUAGCACCAUUUCCAUUUGGUUCUGCACCUUUUAUUGGCUUUCCACUGAGUGUUAUUAUCUGGAAUUUAUCGAGUAUCUCAUUGAAAGGUGCCAUACCUUGCUGUAUUGGCCGUCUCUUACAGUUGCAAAUUUUGUUUGAGGGUACUCACCCUUAGAUUUCACUUGGUUUUCCUGUUGUGCUCCCCCAUGCUGAAAGUGAUCAAGCUGCAGGCA